Molecule: ribosomal RNA, 502 nt
Filed under: uncultured bacterium
Lineage: Bacteria
Description: partial 16S ribosomal RNA
Rfam family: Bacterial small subunit ribosomal RNA
Source: RNAcentral
AUUGAACGCUGGCGGCAGGCUUAACACAUGCAAGUCGAGCGGGGUGAUGGUGCUUGCACUAUCACUUAGCGGCGGACGGGUGAGUAAUGCUUAGGAAUCUGCCUAUUAGUGGGGGACAACAUCUCGAAAGGGAUGCUAAUACCGCAUACGUCCUACGGGAGAAAGCAGGGGAUCACUUGUGACCUUGCGCUAAUAGAUGAGCCUAAGUCGGAUUAGCUAGUUGGGGGGUAAAGGCCCACCAAGCCAACGAUCUGUAGCUGGUCUGAGAGGACGACCAGCCACACUGGAACUGAGACACGGUCCAGACUCCUACGGGAGGCAGCAGUGGGGAAUAUUGGACAAUGGGGGGAACCCUGAUCCAGCCAUGCCGCGUGUGUGAAGAAGGCCUUAUGGUUGUAAAGCACUUUAAGCGAGGAGGAGGCUCUUUUGGUUAAUACCCAAGAUGAGUGGACGUUACUCGCAGAAUAAGCACCGGCUAACUCUGUGCCAGCAGCCGCGGUAA